GGCCGCGGCCGUGACUGGCGAGGGUGGGUCACCACCGGGGAGCGGCCCCGACGCCUCACAGGUGUCGCCAGCCUUCGUGCGCCGCCCGCCUGGGCGCCGGGG
This 102-nucleotide non-coding RNA is filed under the name Xylanimonas cellulosilytica. RNAcentral describes it as "ZTP sequence". It matches the Rfam family "ZMP/ZTP riboswitch aptamer (pfl RNA motif)". Rfam says of the family: Previously known as pfl RNA. ZMP is also known as AICAR. Lineage: Bacteria; Bacillati; Actinomycetota; Actinomycetes; Micrococcales; Promicromonosporaceae. RNAcentral also lists the same sequence under 1 other name. The record is from RNAcentral.